GAUGAACGCUGGCGGCGUGCCCAAUACAUGCAAGUCGAGCGAACAGACGAGGAGCUUGCUCCUCUGACGUUAGCGGCGGACGGGUGAGUAACACGUGGAUAGCCUACCUAUAAGACUGGGAUAACUUCGGGAAACCGGAGCUAAUACCGGAUAAUAUAUUGAACCGCAUGGUUCAAUAGUGAAAGACGGUUUUGCUGUCACUUAUAGAUGGAUCCGCGCCGCAUUAGCUAGUUGGUAAGGUAACGGCUUACCAAGGCAACGAUGCGUAGCCGACCUGAGAGGGUGAUCGGCCACACUGGAACUGAGACACGGUCCAGACUCCUACGGGAGGCAGCAGUAGGGAAUCUUCCGCAAUGGGCGAAAGCCUGACGGAGCAACGCCGCGUGAGUGAUGAAGGUCUUCGGAUCGUAAAACUCUGUUAUUAGGGAAGAACAAAUGUGUAAGUAACUAUGCACGUCUUGACGGUACCUAAUCAGAAAGCCACGGCUAACUACGUG
Molecule: ribosomal RNA, 497 nt
Filed under: uncultured bacterium
Lineage: Bacteria
Description: partial 16S ribosomal RNA
Rfam family: Bacterial small subunit ribosomal RNA
Source: RNAcentral